CCUACGGGUGGCAGCAGUCGAGAAUCAUUCACAAUGGGGGAAACCCUGAUGGUGCGACGCCGCGUGGGGGAAUGAAGGUCUUCGGAUUGUAAACCCCUGUCAUGUGGGAGCAAAUUAAAAAGAUAGUACCACAAGAGGAAGAGACGGCUAACUCUGUGCCAGCAGCCGCGGUAAAACAGAGGUCUCAAGCGGUGUUCGGAAUCACUGGGCGUAAAGCGUGCGUAGGCUGUUUCGUAAGUCGUGUGUGAAAGGCGCGGGCUCAACCCGCGGACGGCACAUGAUACUGCGAGACUAGAGUAGUGGAGAGGGAACCGGAAUUCUCGGUGUAGCAGUGAAAUGCGUAGAUAUCGAGAGGAACACUCGUGGCGAAGGCGGGUUCCUGGACAUUAACUGACGCUGAGGCACGAAGGCCAGGGGAGCGAAAGGGAUUAGAUACCCCAGUAGUC
RNAcentral lists this ribosomal RNA (446 nucleotides) under uncultured bacterium. RNAcentral's name for it is "partial 16S ribosomal RNA". It matches the Rfam family "Bacterial small subunit ribosomal RNA", at positions 338 to 795 of the family's 1533-position model. The record is from RNAcentral.